RNAcentral lists this ribosomal RNA (346 nucleotides) under uncultured bacterium. Its description in RNAcentral is "partial 16S ribosomal RNA". It matches the Rfam family "Bacterial small subunit ribosomal RNA", at positions 338 to 698 of the family's 1533-position model. The record is from RNAcentral.
CCUACGGGUGGCAGCAGUGGGGAAUAUUGGGCAAUGGGCGCAAGCCUGACCCGGCAAAGCCGCGGGAAGGAAGAAGGCGUUCGGGUGGUAAACGUCUUGUCGCAGGGACGAAGCAAGUGACGGUACCGGAGGAAUAAGCCACGGCUAACGACGUGCCAGCAGCCGCGGUAAUACGUAGGUGGCAAGCUUUAUCCGGAUUUACGGUGUGUAAAGGGCGGGUAGGCGGGACGGCAAGUCAGAUGUGAAAACCACGGGCUCAACCUGUGGCCUGCAUUUGAAACGGUAGUUCUUGCGUACUGGCGCGGCAGCCGGACUUCCUUGUGUAGCGGUGAAAUGCGUAGAUAUU